Molecule: ribosomal RNA, 253 nt
Filed under: uncultured bacterium
Lineage: Bacteria
Description: partial 16S ribosomal RNA
Rfam family: Bacterial small subunit ribosomal RNA
Source: RNAcentral
UACGUAGGGUCCGGGCGUUGUCCGGAAUUAUUGGGCGUAAAGGGCUCGUAGGCGGUUGGUCACGUCGGGAGUGAAAACUCAGGGCUCAACCCUGAGCGUGCUUCCGAUACGAGCCGACUAGAGGUAUGCAGGGGAGAACGGAAUUCCUGGUGUAGCGGUGGAAUGCGCAGAUAUCAGGAGGAACACCGGUGGCGAAGGCGGUUCUCUGGGCAUUACCUGACGCUGAGGAGCGAAAGCAUGGGGAGCGAACAGG